CAAGACAUACAGCACAUACUGAGGAAGACAAACAGGGCAGCUGCAGGAGAAGCUUCCAGGCCCUCACAGGCAGUUGCCAUCUCACCAGCUAUGAGGCUGCAGAUCAUCUGGGUUGAGCUGUGACCAGGUUCUGGUUAAGCACACGGACCUUCAUCAAAGGGUCCCUGAACCACCCUUUGCUUUCUGGGAACGACUGACGUUCAGCUCUCCCCUUAGAAGAGCUCACGAGAAACCAUUCAUCACUGCUUACCCCUGGAAUCAUCAAGAGACUUAAACUGCUGGGAUAGGAUCUUAGUGAACCCAAGUUGCCAUCAGUAAUGAACACGCUAUUCCUCUAUAAGCUUUGACAAGCCAUCUGCCUCGUAACCACUACAUCACCUUCCAGUCUACUUCCACAGCCUGAGAAAAGUUUCGUGGAACUUCGGAGCAGAAUCUCAGCGGACUGAGGAAAUGAAACACUGGGAGAGUUUGACCAGGAGAGAAGAGUCUAAGGGGCCUGGCCUCUGAAUGGGCAGUGGUGUGCCUGGAGAGCACUGGGACUGGGGUGUACACUCUUUGAACUGGCUUGGAAGUUAAGGCAGAGGUAGAUGGGUGGUCUUGAACAACACAAGCUGGAGA
Molecule: long non-coding RNA, 618 nt
Filed under: Rattus norvegicus (Norway rat)
Lineage: Eukaryota; Metazoa; Chordata; Mammalia; Rodentia; Muridae
Description: long non-coding RNA NONRATT014835
Source: RNAcentral